UUUUAGCUUAGUGCUACCAGUUAGUCACCAAACACGCGUUCUAAGUUAAGGUCGAUCCUGGCCUUAUCCUUGGCGGAUUAUGUUAUCCUUCCACGAAUUUUAGUGUAUUUUCAUACUUCGUCGUGAAUUACUCAAGCUUUAGUGGAUUUUUACCUUUGUUAGUUCGUGAAACGUAAGAAAUAGUGUGAAUGUUCAUCCUUCAUCGUUCUGUGAUUUACACGAAAUUUAGUGGUUUCAACUAUCGGUGAUUUUUGAAUUCACCAAGAAUUGUGUGAAAUUUUAUACCUCAUCGUUCUGGGAAUCAAUCAACAAUUUUUGUUAAUUCUUAUUCGUCGACGAUUUGUGAUUUAACAAUAUUUUCCCUGAGAUUUACUUGAUUUCCGGGAUUAGUGUAGAGAGAAAUGCAUUCAAAUUGAAUGAGAGGUCUACAUGAAGCUGAUAGAUCAUGAACAGCAUUCAAUAAAACGUGACAGAACAAUCAUUUACAAGCAGUCAUUUGUUGAAUGUAAUAGUUAGCCGAACUCUUCCAAUAUUGCUAAACCGUAUUCAGUCAAACAUAAUAAGUUGAAGAAGACAAAACAAAAUGAGCUGUUUGACGGGUUUGUGAACUUUUGAUGGUUCUUGAAACUAGUGAAUUAAGAGUAGUUCUUACCUUCAGUAAGUUGUCAAUAGUGAUCAGUGAUAAUUGACUAAACUAAAUCAGUUAUUUGUGACAAUGUUGAUAAGUGGAACAGUGAGAUGGCGCUACAGCAACAAGUUUGGUUGCUACUACUAGGCAUCGUAACAAGUCUCGACUGAUAUUGAACUCCUGAAAACGACACAGGAUUUGUCGUGAUAGUGUUGUUGGUGUUGAAAUUUUGGGAUGUUACUACUACGCGACAUAACUAGUUUCGGCUGAGAUUGAACGGCUGAAAACGAUACAGAAUUUUUGUGAGUGAAAGAACCAAGUGUUACAAUGAGUGUGGAAAGUGAGCGAGCAUUUUCGCCGCCCCGAUCGCCGAAAGCAGGCCGCGUGGCGCGAAUUAUGAGUGACGUCAGCUCGGAUCAGCUGAUGGGUUCCUCUCUGGAGGUGCCCUCGCCGGAGAAAGGGGGGCCCCGGCGCAGUUCGCUCUACAACUUGCGGGUGAUUUGCGACCGGGUGCACCGGUUGGCCGGAUAUGGAUUUUCCAGUGCCCUCACGUCGCCUACAGGUGAGAUUUCCACCGGAUAUGGCGUUGAAAUUUGUGUAAAUUCUUGUAGAAUUGUAUAUUUAAUGUUCAACGGAUCUAUAUUAUGACAAAACGGUAUAAUUGCUGAGUCGUAUAAUUAUUAAUGUUCAAUGGUUCUGUAAUAUUACAGAUAUUACUAAAAAUUGAAUGAGAAUAAAUAUAACAGAACCGUAUAAUAAAUGCUCAGUGGUUCUGUAAUAUGACAGAACCGUAUAAAUUGUUAAAUCGUUCAAUGUUAUAUGGUAUUGUAAUGUGACAGCUGUUAGGUUGGGUGCUACUACCACGUGAGUAACAUGACUAUAGUUGAAUUAAAAAGAUCUUCCAUCUUGGAGGGAUAUGCUUAGCUGAGUAAAGUAGGGAUACUGCGGUUGCGAUGUUGCCGUGCUAGAGAGGACCGCGUUCUGUUCAGAGAGUAUAGAAUUAAUAUAUUUAUAUAGAAUGUGUUCGUUCUAUACUCUCUGGUUCUGUAGUCUUAAGUGAGUGUUCAACACCUCAUAAUACACAUACCUAGUUUCCCCCUCUAUGAAAGUACAGCAUCGACUGAGUCUGUUUUGUCAACUUAGCAAACGGGCUUGUCUCGGACUUAAUCACUAUAACUGGCUGUCCUCUAUCUCUCUUCAUCUCUCUGAUCCGUAUAUCCCUCCAAGUCAUCAAUUUUUUAAUUAAUCCAUAUAGUUACGGGAGUGAUUUAGUCUGAAAAAUGAUACUUCUAAGUCAUUAAACUUCAAUCUAUUUAAAGUCGGUCGAUAAAUACUGGACAAUGAUUUAUAAAGCAUUUCAUUUCAAUUCUAUCCAAUGUACUUUUAUACUCUAUGAAUUCUUUAUAUUGAAUGAAAUAUUGUGGAAUAGCAAUCUAGUUAGUAGAGUGAUAAUUCCAUCUAUGAUCUCAUCAAUAUUUAUAAUCUCAUCAAUACUCUUUAACAAUCCUGUGUUUAUAAAUUCAGGCAUUAUCUCGAAUAAUUGAGAAGAUGGCCUUCUUGACCAGUGGUAGGUUAUACAUUGAAAAGUCAACAUCCGAGCUGACCCCUGACCUGUUAGUAGCAUUCACCUUUUUACACUUUGCGAAUAAAGCAAUUAUCGUUGCUGUAUUUAAGCGACAUACGAAAUCUUAUUCAAAUGUCCUUCUUCCUUAUUUGGCGUCUGAUCGUAGAUUAUGGCCAGGAGGGAUUAUCAUGGAAUUAUGUUACCUUAUGCUUCUUUCUAGAAUUUUUAAUACAAUUAAAUGAGCUGAUGAUGAAGCUAUUGACAAGUGAGCCUAAUCUUGCAUGCAGUACUUCCAGAACAUCAAAAUUCAACUUUUAUUCAUACCAACGUAUAUUGAUAACAUAUGAACCCGGUUGCACGAAAAUGUGAUUUGAUUCACCACCGUAAAAUGACGUAAUUACAUUAAUGACAAACUCGUUCAUUGGUUGUCGUUGCCUUGGCUCUCUUAGAUGAUAUAAUAUAUUUCUGAUGAAUGAAAUGUUUCAAAUCAAUCUUUUUAAAAAAAGUGUCUCUGUCACGGUGUUAAUAAGAUGUUAAGCAGCUAAUCCAACUUUUCCAAUCACGUUGUUAGAGAGGAAAAUUGUCAGAAGCUUUUCUCGAACCAGUCGAUAAUCGUUGAGACGCGCUUACUACACCGUGAACUCAAACCCAUUAUGACGUCACAGCUACCAGUUAUGACGUCAUAGAGACAUUUUUAUUUAUAGAAGACUCUCACACCCUCUCUCUCGGUCUUAUCUUGAGCGCGCUCCGGUUAAUCUACUGGGAACUCGUUGGCUCUUGGAGGAAUGCUAAUGGUGAAAAUUUAUGACGUUGUGGUGGGUAGUAGUAGCUGGGGAAUUGAGAAUUUUCACGAGCAGAAAGAUGAAAAUCGUUUGGUGCGGUUUUUCCGGAAGAAUUCAUCCGGUGCGGUGAAGAGGAUGGAUUUUCCGGUCCGCCCACUGCUUUUCCUAACCUUUUCCACUUGCUGUUCGGUUUUCUUUCGAGCUCUAUUCUCUCUCUCUCUCUGUCUCGCUCAUCAGUCGAUCUUAAUCUUCUACACAUUAUUAAUAUUGACUCUGUAACAAUAAGGCUUCUGUUAGGGGAAGAUUAGUUAAAAGUAAAAAUAAAUGGUGAAAGAGAAUAGUAGUGGUUCACAUUUGCAGUGUGUCAUUCUGUGAAU
This 3351-nucleotide long non-coding RNA is filed under the name Nilaparvata lugens (brown planthopper). RNAcentral's name for it is "uncharacterized LOC120351962, transcript variant X3". Lineage: Eukaryota; Metazoa; Arthropoda; Insecta; Hemiptera; Delphacidae. The record is from RNAcentral.